Molecule: ribosomal RNA, 462 nt
Filed under: uncultured bacterium
Lineage: Bacteria
Description: partial 16S ribosomal RNA
Rfam family: Bacterial small subunit ribosomal RNA
Source: RNAcentral
GACGAACGCUGGCGGCGUGCUUAACACAUGCAAGUCGAGCGGAAAGGCCCUUCGGGGUACUCGAGCGGCGAACGGGUGAGUAACACGUGAGUAACCUGCCCCAGACUUUGGGAUAACCCUCGGAAACGGGGGCUAAUACCGGAUACGACACAGCUUCGCAUGGGGUCUGUGUGGAAAGUUUUUCGGUUUGGGAUGGGCUCGCGGCCUAUCAGCUUGUUGGUGGGGUGAUGGCCUACCAAGGCGACGACGGGUAGCCGGCCUGAGAGGGCGACCGGCCACACUGGGACUGAGACACGGCCCAGACUCCUACGGGAGGCAGCAGUGGGGAAUAUUGCACAAUGGGCGGAAGCCUGAUGCAGCGACGCCGCGUGAGGGAUGGCGGCCUUCGGGUUGUAAACCUCUUUCAGCAGGGACGAAGCGUAAGUGGCGGUACCUGCAGAAGAAGCGCCGGCCAACUACGUG